AGCUUUGCGCAGUGGCAGUAUCGUAGCCAAUGAGGUUUAUCCGAGGCGCGAUUAUUGCUAAUUAAAACGGAGUCUGCAUUCUGGUUCUACCUGCUUCAAACUGUGACCGUAGCAGAGUGUUCACCACAUCAGCCACUGUACGGGUGACAACAGCAGACUUAGCAGGCCCCCCCCAGUGAAGAAUUGCAGAGGAUCGAUCACGUCCAUUUUACAAACGGAACCUAGGCUCAUAGGAUUGGUUAUAGUAUAACUUUUUACGGAAGUGUAGCAACUCAAACAUGCAGUUCUUGAACAAUAUGGCAAUUUCUGUGAGUAUGAAAAUU
The sequence is a small nuclear RNA, 323 nucleotides long. Its record names the gene U4. It matches the Rfam family "U4 spliceosomal RNA". From Rfam's summary of the family: U4 small nuclear RNA (U4 snRNA) is a component of the major U2-dependent spliceosome. The structure of U4 snRNA from yeast and human has been reported. U4 snRNA presents a k-turn RNA motif in the 5p-SL related to recognition of Snu13 protein. The record is from Ensembl.